UGUUUACAUCUGAAUCACCAGUCCCUUCCGGAGGCCUUUUAGUCAGCAGCAUGAAGAAGGGAGGUGUCUAGGUUCUGAGUCCACGUGGCCUCCUUUUAGCCCAGUGUCACCCAUUCUUCCCUGUGGCUUAGGGUGCUGCCUUCUUCCUCUUCUCUGCCGGCAGUAGGGCUGCUCUCUAGAGUUCAUACUCUGUUCCCCAGAGGAGUGAACUCCUGUCCUUCGUUCUGCCUAGGCCCUCCCUAAGGUCUGGAGAUGAAGCUUUGGAGACAGAUGGUCUUGAGGAGAGGACCGUGUCUAGUGAGACUGGGUCUCUGUGGUCUGAUCUGGCCUAGUAGUUGAUGUGUAGCCAAAGCUGGCCUUGAAUUCUUGUCAAUCCUCCUGACUUAACCCCUCAAAUGCUGGGAUUCAAAGUGCCCUCCCACCUUAGGAAACCUUGAUUGUCCAAAUCCAUACUAAUACCACACUUAGCACAGAGAAUUUCUGAUAACUCACCUGCAGACUACAAGAUGCCAUGGAGGAGGACUGGGUGGAGGAGACCCCUGUUCCAUUCCUGAGAAGAGAUGGCUGGGAACAAACAUUAAAAGUUUUACAGUGACUAAGGGUCACCCUUGAAGGACCAUUACUCCCUAAGAGCACAGGACCCGCAUCUGUCCAGCUGCCUACCCACCCGUUCAUAAAUACAUCCUUAGCACAUGAUCCGGUCCAUCGAAAGCACAGAGCUCGUGUUUUGUGGAGAGGAAAACCAAGACACCGCCCAACCCUUCACCUGGCAUGUGUGGUGAGGAACGAGAACCCAAGCUCUGUGCUCUGGGAACUGGAAGCAUUGCACAGAUGCAUCAUGAACAGAGGCCUGAGCCUCGCCUUCUGAGUCAGACUCAGUACAUCUGUGACUCAGAGGCCUCGCUCCUCAGCAAUGCUGGCUAGGAAUGUGUUGGGAGCUAUAAAUCCCUGACCCCUUGAUUUUCUUUGCCUGCCUCAGACCCUUUGCCUGCUGGAGUGAACUGAGCAAAACAACUUGUUUUCCUCUUCCCUGAGCAGCCUGCAGCUGCUCUGAGCACGAGGCCUUGAUGGCAGGCUGGUGGGUCUGCAGCUGUAUCCUGAGUGCUGGGGCGUGGCCAGAGCCCUAUGUAAGCUUCCCCUGAGCACACUAAACUUGGCACUGUUGUAUCAAGA
This is a long non-coding RNA of Myodes glareolus (Bank vole), 1173 nucleotides long. RefSeq lists it as uncharacterized. The record is from RefSeq and is a predicted model, not a curated record. Lineage: Eukaryota; Metazoa; Chordata; Mammalia; Rodentia; Cricetidae.